RNAcentral lists this ribosomal RNA (301 nucleotides) under uncultured bacterium. RNAcentral describes it as "partial 16S ribosomal RNA". It matches the Rfam family "Bacterial small subunit ribosomal RNA", at positions 509 to 809 of the family's 1533-position model. The record is from RNAcentral.
CAGCAGCCGCGGGAAAACGAAGGGGGCUAGCGUUGUUCGGAAUUACUGGGCGUAAAGCGCACGUAGGCGGAUAUUUAAGUCAGGGGUGAAAUCCCAGAGCUCAACUCUGGAACUGCCUUUGAUACUGGGUAUCUUGAGUAUGGAAGAGGUGAGUGGAAUUCCAAGUGUAGAGGUGAAAUUCGUAGAUAUUCGGAGGAACACCAGUGGCGAAGGCGGCUCACUGGUCCAUUACUGACGCUGAGGUGCGAAAGCGUGGGGAGCAAACAGGAUUAGAUACCCCCGUAGUCCCUGUCUCUUAUAA